UAUUCAUCUUCCACAGGAUAAGACCUUUUAAGCAAAAACUGAUAUUUUUCAUGUCUACUUUAAUAUCACUCGUGAAUCAAGACUUGAGGCUAAUAUAUAGAAUUGAACUUGUUAAGAUUUCUCAACAUCUAACUCAAGAGCAAUUCAUAAGGCUCUUAAGUUUUUGCAAAGAUUACAUUCCGGAGAGUGAUUCGAGUGGCUUCUCCAUACCAGAUGAAAUUUUUGGGUGCUUGGAGGAAAAGGGAGUUAUUUCGUACGAGAAAGUCAGCUUUCUGACGAAAUUCGCCAACGCGAUAUGAAGGAGAGAUCUCGGCGCCAACCUUACCAGAUUUGAAAUAACAAGAGAGCUGAUAAUCUACGCUUUGAACAGGCCAGGGUUAGAAGCUACUAUUAUUUCGUCGACCACAAGUCUGGGUCAGCAUUUAGCCAAAAUGAUGGAUGUUGUCCAAGAUAGAGUUGAUGCUCCAGUCCAAGGAUUGUUCAGGUUCCUCCUUAUGCCCGGACAAAAUGUUUCCAACGUUCUGGACGUAAUCAUCGGUGAUGUACUACCUGGCUAAGAUAUAUCCAAAAGCUGGAAUAGCCUGGCCUUGCGCUUCGCCACUGCGGCGGAAAUUGUCUGGCUGGUCAUCAGAGAGAACCAAGCGCAAGAGAAUGGUACAAAGAAUGCAUUACAGGUCGCCAAAAAGCUGGCUAGUCAUCUAUUGUCUAAGAUGGACAAAUUUGAGAUCUGGGAGAAGUUUUGCUCAUUUGUCAUGGAACGACACCAAGGAUACUUUCGCGCGUCAGUUCCUGAACCAGUGCCUGACUUUCCAUGGCAGUUAAUGUUAGGCUUGAUUGAGAAAUUGAAGAAUACCUUCUUCACUGAAAAAUGAGGAUAAGUAUCAUCCAGUUUAACGUAGUCAUUGGUUUAAUUUAGCAAAUAUUGAAGGGACAAAAAAUCUAAGUAGUCAAGAAAAGAGUAGAUAUAGUGAACUGAAAGAGAGAAGUAGCUAAUUCAUUUUUCUCGCUAUCUCAAAUAUUCACGCGUGGUGAACUUGAACAGAAUUUUUUUCAAAGGAUCUACGAUUUACCCAUUGGUCUUGGUCUUGGUCUUGGUCUGGGUCUGAGUCUGAGUCUGGUAUGCAUGUGAGCAGUACAAAUUUGCAUAUUGAUCAUUUUUAUGAUUUUAUCCCCAGGUUCGCUGAGUCGAGAACCGUUUGAACAUACAACAAACAAGGAAGUGAUGUCUCAAUUUUGGACACCAACUUCCAACUAACAGACAUGUGGUUACUUCUCGAGAACCAGUUGGCAAACUUAUUGCAACAAAAGUUGCAAUACAAUCGUACCAUACAAUCGUAGCUCAUGCUACACUCUAAAAUGCUUGACUGUAUUCAAUGCUUUGAAUAAAGCACAAACUGAUAUAUA
Molecule: long non-coding RNA, 1404 nt
Organism: Stylophora pistillata
Lineage: Eukaryota; Metazoa; Cnidaria; Anthozoa; Scleractinia; Pocilloporidae
Source: RefSeq, a predicted model, not a curated record